GACGAAGGUGGCGAGCGUUGUUCGGAAUCACUGGGCGUAAAGCGCACGUAGGCGGUGCCGUAAGUCGGAUGUGAAAUCCCUCGGCCUAACCGAGGAACUGCGUCCGAUACUGCGGUGCUUGAGGAUCAGAGGGGUGCAUGGAAUUUCCGGUGGAGCGGUGAAAUGCGUUGAUAUCGGAAGGAACUCCGGCGGCGAAAGCGAUGCACUGGCUGAUUUCUGACGCUGAGGUGCGAAAGCCAGGGGAGCAAACGGG
Molecule: ribosomal RNA, 253 nt
Filed under: uncultured bacterium
Lineage: Bacteria
Description: partial 16S ribosomal RNA
Rfam family: Bacterial small subunit ribosomal RNA
Source: RNAcentral